This 3778-nucleotide long non-coding RNA is filed under the name Triticum aestivum (bread wheat). RNAcentral describes it as "long non-coding RNA (TAES_LNC024693)". The record is from RNAcentral. Lineage: Eukaryota; Viridiplantae; Streptophyta; Magnoliopsida; Poales; Poaceae.
UGUUUUUUUUUUUUUGCUUCUCCAGCCAUGUUUGUGUUCUAGAUCAUGGAUGAAUCGCUCUCUCUGGUGGCGCUUCUCCAGGGAUAAAUUUGGUACUUUCUCAGUGGAGUUGUAAUGUAAUUCUUUUGUGUGUUUUUAGUGGAAUUACAGUGUAUUUUUAGUGGAAUUACCGUGCAUUUUCAGUGGUUUUUACAUUGUAAUUGUUAGUGGAAUUACAGUGGAAUUUACACUGUAAAUCUUAGUGGGUUUACAGUGUAUUUUUAGUUGAUUUUUGCUCUGUAUUUGCAAGUGGCAUUUUUAGUGGAAUUACAGUGUAUUUUUAGUGGAAUUACUGUGCAUUUGCAGUGGUUUUUACACUGUAAUUAUUAGUGGAAUUUACACUGUAAAUCUUAGUGGGUUUACUUUGUAUUUUUAGUGGAUUUUUGCUCUGUAUGUGCAAGUGGCAUUUUUAGUGGAAUCGCAAUGGAUUUUUAGUGGAUUACUGUGCAUUUUCCGUGGUUUUUACACUAUAAUUAUUAGUGGUAUUUUAGCCCUUUGUAUAGUUGAUUCACAGCAUCAGCAACUGUAAUUUCUCAGUAUUUUAGUGCUCAGAGUGUUAUUCGGCGCUGUGUGGUUAGAUGUCAUCAGUUUUGAUCCUUUUCAUCCUCCUGUAGUUAGCUUAGUCCACCUUUUGUUAGCUUUUAGCUGCUUUCUGUACGGGUUUGGGGCGUGGACCCGUUUAUAGUUUGGUGGGCAGAAAGAAUAGGGGAAUAGAGGAGACGAGACAUGUGACACUUGUCAUCCAUUAGUUGACUGAAAAAUAUGAAUGAAAGCGAAUUAAAUUUCAUCCGGAUGUAGAAUAGACAGUCCCAAAUAAAAAAGCAAUCCAACGGUGUAUCCCGUCAAGCUGUGUAUCCAACUCCACCCUCACGCCGUGUGCCAUGGUUUCCUACAACAAGCACCUGCCGAGCACAAGCAACUCGGCGGGAACGCCGCCACGCUCGCUCCGCAGAGUGCGGCCUCCCCUGUGUCCGCUAUCGUGGCCGUGCCGCCGCCAGGCGCCAACGCAUCAGCGAGGACGUCGCGUUCGAGUCAGGAACGUGAUCGCUACGCGUGCGCUAGCGCUUUGCUGGGCUUCUCUUGGAUCGCAAGGUUCGGUUUUAUGGGAUUUUACGCUUUAGUUCGUAUUAGGAAAGAGUGAUGUAUGUCGAGGCAUUUUAUCUUUUACGUAUAGGAAAGAGUAGGAAAGAGGGUCGAGGAAUUUUAGGCUUUACGUUCCAGGAAAGAGGGUUAGAACUUUACGUUCCAACUUUCGAGGUGGUUUUGGUCGAGGAAUUUUAGGAUGGCAGUUUGGGCUACAGAGCCUCCAACCUGAUCAGGUGCACAAUCCUUCCAUCGGAAGAGGUUUCACUCUCAUUUCAACUCUCUAUCACAAACCUACAGCUCCCAAUGAAUGGCUCCCAGCAGCUCUGCCUCAAAGGAAGGAAUGCUCCAUCAAUAUCCUUCUGUCCAAUUCCAAGCUAUUCUUAUUGCGAGAUUACUCUGCACACGACAAUGUGCAAGAUGAUCUGCAGACGACCUUGUGAUCAAUGGCUGCAGACCACGUGAACUGAGGUGAUCGAUGGCUGCUAUAUCUUAGUCAUCCAGAAAUCUUGCACAGCCCAUCGUUUGUGUAUCAGUUCUCUAUUCUUAUUGACUCUAUUCACUUGCCACUCCCCUUAAGCUGCCAAUUUUGUUCGAAUUCUAAUUCUAAUUUAUAGAUUUUCUUAUUUGGGGUUUAUACAAUUCAUAAACGGACCAUAGACGUAGUCAAAGCACACACAAAUAGUUCUUUAAAGUUGAGAUAAUUAAGGUUUACAAUUCAUAGAGUGACCAUAAGACAUAGUGCAUAUUUGACUACUUACAAGCAAUCAAAACAAAGCUGAAAAAGCUCACAUGAAUAGUUGGAUAAGGUUGAGAUAAUUAAGGUUUACAAUUCAUACACUGACCAUAGGACAUGGUGCAUAUUUGACUACUUGCAAGCAAUCAUAAGUAAGAAAGCUAACAAAGCACACAUGAAUAGUUGGAUAAGGCUGAGAUAAUUAAGGUUUACAAUUCACACACUGACCAUAGGACGUGGUGCAUAUCUGACUACUUGCAAGUAAUCAAAACAAAGCUGAAAAAGCUCACAUGAAUAGUUGGAUAAGGUUGAGAUAAUUAAGGUUUACAAUUCAUACACUGACCAUAGGACAUGGUGCAUAUCUGACUACUUGCAAGUAAUCAAAACCAAAGCUGACAAAGCUCAUACGAAUAUAUAGUUGGAUGAAGCGGAGACAAUAAGUCUGACUAGCCCUAGCCCUAGCCCUCUGCAAUAAAUUCAUCAUUAAGCGCCGGGUCCUCAGCAAUAAAUUCCUCAUUAAGCUUCAGGCCCAAAGCAAUAAAUUCCUCAUUAAACCUAGCACCAUAUACUCCAGUAAGAAGUCCUUGCAGAAAAUGCCUGAGAUCAUCAUCAAGAAGAGGCCGCUGUCACACCGAAAAAAAAGCAAGUUAAGCAUACAACCACCCAAAAGAAUACUACUACGUAUAACAAUUUGUGAUUGGUAAAUUUACCCUAUUAAUAUCAUACUGGUGAUAAUGAGCUAUGACUACUUUGGCAAAGUGCAAGGCUCCAAAAACUGUUUGAGCAAACCCCACCCCCCGGGUAACUUCAAUUUGAUGGUCCAGAAUCGCUGUAAGAGACGGGUCUCCAACAUUGCGUUGCCACCCCUGUAAGAAGAUAUGUUUCUCCAACCAAUCUAUUUGGUCAUCGGUAAAAAAAAUUCCUUUUUCAUAUAAUCUUUUAUACUUGCUCUCCCUAACGUGGGGGACUGUGACUAGGAAUGGAUGAUCGAGGACAUCUUGUUUCCUGCCAUAUUAAUAACAGUAGGGUUAACUUUCUGCCAUAUUAAUAACAAUAGAGUUAACUAAAGAUGAUGGAGAUGAUGGUUAAUGUUAGAAGAGUUGGCUAGUGCAUACCUUAUGUUUAUAUUUGGGUUAAUGAGGAAUGCAUUGAAGUGCGCUAGUUCAAUAUCAUCUGGCCAAUGUUGCAAAAUAUUGGUCUGUAUCAGUAGUUGCAAACCCUGCCUAGGUGUCAUCACAUCAUCAGGAGUCCUUCCACGAACUCGGAAUGGCAUAAUUUGGAUCAUAUUCUCAUUAAUAGCGUAAGUUCCAAUAUCUUCCACAUUAUCUACUGUCCACUGUUUGUCCCAAAUCAAAAAGACUACUAAUAUAUGGGGCAAAUACAAGUGUACGAGGCAAUGUAAAGUGACAUGGAGAUAAAAGGAUUGAUAAGCAAAUGUAAUCUCUAGAGAAUAAAGAGGGGAGAAGGAUGGCCAUACCUAAUACUAUUUCUUAACUGAUCACGAACGAACAUACUGUUAUCUGGAUUUGCUAUCCAGGAGAGCACACUUUGUUGAGAGCGAGCAAAGGCAAUGAUUGUUUUUCCAAUUAGGGUAUUAUAGGCCACGCCGUAGGUCUUAACAAUCCCUACAUCAAUGGAUGGAUUUAGCCCCAAUGGGUUUAGCUGACCAAAAGGCACUUCAUUCAGAACCCAGAAGGUGGCAGCUCGUUUCUGCAGUUCCUCUUAGUCAAAUCCUUGUUCUAUAUCCGCAGCAAACUUUAUUGCCUUGCUUGAAUAAUAGAUAUAACCAUCUUUAAAUCCAAGUUCUGCAGUUUGUGGACAGCUAAAUUCGUAGGGCUGAAUAAGAGUGCCACACCUCCUAGCAUUAGUACGAAAGUUUCUGGCUUCUCUGCAUCUCUCAAAGAUGGUUUUCUCGUUCCU